UUCGUUUGUGAAGAAACACACAAGUUUUCAGUCUACACAGAUUCAAAUCAAGUUGUCGUAUGAAAGAAUAAAUACGAAACUUUCGACGUUAUUUCGGAAUGCGUUGAUGGAGUCUAAUUUUACAAAUUGUUGAUACAUUGCUUUACAUAAAGUAUGGGAGAUGUAUAGUUCUUGACCGCGGAAUUGAAAAAACGAAGGCUCACUUAAUAUAACUUAGUACUUGUAUGUAAAAUUGAAUGUAAUUUUAUGAGUGUUGCAAUUAUUUAUCGCAAUGUAUACUUUUCACAAUAAUAUUGUUUGGAAAAUGCUUUC
Long non-coding RNA from Xenia sp. Carnegie-2017, 312 nucleotides. RefSeq lists it as uncharacterized. The transcript is spliced from 2 exons. The record is from RefSeq and is a predicted model, not a curated record. Lineage: Eukaryota; Metazoa; Cnidaria; Anthozoa; Malacalcyonacea; Xeniidae.